This 253-nucleotide ribosomal RNA is filed under the name uncultured bacterium. RNAcentral's name for it is "partial 16S ribosomal RNA". It matches the Rfam family "Bacterial small subunit ribosomal RNA", at positions 524 to 776 of the family's 1533-position model. The record is from RNAcentral.
UACGGGGGGGGCAAGCGUUGUUCGGAAUUACUGGGCGUAAAGGGCUCGUAGGUGGCCAACUAAGUCAGACGUGAAAUCCCUCGGCUUAACCGGGGAACUGCGUCUGAUACUGGAUGGCUAGAGUUUGGGAGAGGGAUGCGGAAUUCCAGGUGUAGCGGUGAAAUGCGUAGAUAUCUGGAGGAACACCGGUGGCGAAGGCGGCGACCUGGGUCGACACUGACGCUGAGGCGCGAAAGCGUGGGGAGCAAACAGG